GAUGAACGCUGGCGGCGUGCCUAAUACAUGCAAGUCGAGCGAACAGAUAAGGAGCUUGCUCCUUUGACGUUAGCGGCGGACGGGUGAGUAACACGUGGGUAACCUAUCUAUAAGACUGGAAUAACUCCGGGAAACCGGGGCUAAUGCCGGAUAACAUGUUGAACCGCAUGGUUCUACAGUGAAAGGCGGCUUUGCUGUCACUUAUAGAUGGGCCCGCGCCGUAUUAGCUAGUUGGUGAGGUAACGGCUCACCAAGGCAACGAUACGUAGCCGACCUGAGAGGGUGAUCGGCCACACUGGAACUGAGACACGGUCCAGACUCCUACGGGAGGCAGCAGUAGGGAAUCUUCCGCAAGGGGCGAAAGCCUGACGGAGCAACGCCGCGGGAGUGAUGAAGGUCUUCGGAUCGUAAAACUCUGUUAUUAGGGAAGAACAAAUGCGUAAGUAACUGUGCGCGUCUUGACGGUACCGAAGCAGAAAGCCACGGCUAACUACGG
Molecule: ribosomal RNA, 496 nt
Filed under: uncultured bacterium
Lineage: Bacteria
Description: partial 16S ribosomal RNA
Rfam family: Bacterial small subunit ribosomal RNA
Source: RNAcentral